AAAGUCGUAACAAGGUUUCCGUAGGUGAACCUGCGGAAGGAUCAUUACCGAACUGUCAACAAGAGUUGUUGCUGGUCCCUGUAAUGGGGGCAUGUGCACGCUCUGUUUACACAUCCACUCACACCUGUGCACCCUCUGUAGUUCUAUGGCCUGGGUGGGCUCUGCCCUCCUGCUGUGGUUCUACGUCUUUACACACACACUACAAUAAAGUCUUAUGGAAUGUAUGUCGCGUUUAACGCAAUUAAAUACAACUUUCAGCAACGGAUCUCUUGGCUCUCGCAUCGAUGAAGAACGCAGCGAAAUGCGAUAAGUAAUGUGAAUUGCAGAAUUCAGUGAAUCAUCGAAUCUUUGAACGCACCUUGCGCCCUUUGGCUAUUCCGAAGGGCAUGCCUGUUUGAGUAUCAUGAACACCUCAACUCUCAUGGUUUGCCGUGAUGAGCUUGGACUUUGGGGGUCUUGUUGGCCUGUGAGCCAGCUCCUCUUAAAUGGAUUAGCUUGCCGGUGUUUGGUGGCGUCACAGGUGUGAUAACUAUCUACGCUUGUGGUUUCCCACUAGGUAACCUUCAGCAAUGGAGGUUCACCGGAGCUCAUAAAUGUCUCUCCUCGGCGAGGACAGAUUUUGACCGUUUGAUCUCAAAUCAGGUAGGACUACCCGCUGAACUUAAGCAUAUCAAUAAGCGGAGGAAAAGAAACUAACAAGGAUUCCCCUAGUAACUGCGAGUGAAGCGGGAAGAGCUCAAAUUUAAAAUCUGGCGGCCUC
Molecule: ribosomal RNA, 760 nt
Filed under: uncultured Thelephoraceae
Lineage: Eukaryota; Fungi; Basidiomycota; Agaricomycetes; Thelephorales; Thelephoraceae
Description: eukaryotic LSU rRNA
Rfam family: 5.8S ribosomal RNA (bases 250-404)
Source: RNAcentral